Heterocephalus glaber (naked mole-rat) is the source of this 884-nucleotide long non-coding RNA. NCBI's taxonomy places the organism in Eukaryota, Metazoa, Chordata, Mammalia, Rodentia, Bathyergidae. The record is from Ensembl.
GGAGUACUCCACACUGGCACUGGCUUCCUCCAGAGAAAGUGUCCAAAAAAGAGUAAGCCUAAUUUAUGUUAUGUAUUUGGAGGAGCAAUGGAUCGAUGGAUGUUUCAAAUAGGCACUUAAUGACCACCAUUUAGGAUCCUGGAAAAGACCGAGGCUGGCCAGAGUCUCUACCUCACAAGAGUUGUAUAUUAAAGAAGUUACAUACAAAUUCAUUAAUUCACCAAGAUUAAGAUGGAUGGGUUAGAAACUCUGAAGCUCAUCUCUUUGCCGUUUUAAAUCCGUCUGCAUAGAACAUCCCACCUCAGCUGCUAUCUGAUCUGUCUGGCUGCCAACCCUGAGCUGCCUGCAACUCUGCUACCUUGGAAGAUGUGAACCAGUGCAGUAACACAGAAGAAUUCACAGAGGGUUCCAAGACCAAUGUGAGCAAGAACCCGCAGAAUGGUGGUAAAAUGUUGUAUUGGAGACUUAAAAUGAGACACAAGCAAGUAAUUUCUGACCGAAUAUUUGUUUCAAUUUAGGGAAGUUAUAAGACUGCACAAUUAAAACAGAUUCAGCCCCAAGGACCAAAGCUUUGAAAGUGAAAGAGUGCACUAAAAAAGGUUUAGUGGGGGAUUGAGCCAGAUACCUGUGAAGAACAAAUUUAAAAACAUUUUAAACCCUUGGAGAGACUGAAAAUAUUGAACUUCCACUGAUAUAAGAACAAAUAAAAGAAGAGGAUUUUGUUUUAUCACCUGUACCAGUGGUGGCGAGCCUAUGGCAUGCGUGCCUCAGUAUGCACACAAAAUCUUCUGUCGGCAUGUGAGCCAAGUUGCCCCAGUAGCCAAGCACCAGAUAACAGUUGUUUUUUUCUCAAUUAAAACCUCAGUUUUCAGGUUUAAUUGCAG